Molecule: ribosomal RNA, 450 nt
Filed under: uncultured bacterium
Lineage: Bacteria
Description: bacterial SSU rRNA
Rfam family: Bacterial small subunit ribosomal RNA
Source: RNAcentral
AACGAACGCUGGCGGCAUGCCUAACACAUGCAAGUCGAACGAAGCCUUCGGGCUUAGUGGCGCACGGGUGCGUAACGCGUGGGAAUCUGCCCUUGGGUUCGGAAUAACAGUUAGAAAUGACUGCUAAUACCGAAUGAUGUCUUCGGACCAAAGAUUUAUCGCCCAAGGAUGAGCCCGCGUCGGAUUAGCUGGUUGGUGAGGUAAAGGCUCACCAAGGCGACGAUCCGUAGCUGGUCUGAGAGGAUGAUCAGCCACACUGGGACUGAGACACGGCCCAGACUCCUACGGGAGGCAGCAGUGGGGAAUAUUGGACAAUGGGCGAAAGCCUGAUCCAGCAAUGCCGCGUGAAUGAUGAAGGUCUUAGGGUUGUAAAGCUCUUUUACCCGGGAUGAUAAUGACAGUACCGGGAGAAUAAGCCCCGGCUAACUCCGUGCCAGCAGCCGCGGUAAU